Molecule: non-coding RNA, 45 nt
Organism: Schistosoma mattheei
Lineage: Eukaryota; Metazoa; Platyhelminthes; Trematoda; Strigeidida; Schistosomatidae
Source: Rfam
AUCCAGCUGACGAGUUUCAAAUAGGACGAAACGCGCAUCCUGGAU